AACGGCCGUACCAUGCUGAAUAUACCGGUUCUCGUUAGAUCACCGAAGUUAAGCAUCAUUGGGCGCGGUCAGUACUUGGGUGGGUGACCACCUGGGAACACCGCGUGCCGUU
Molecule: ribosomal RNA, 112 nt
Filed under: Caerostris darwini
Lineage: Eukaryota; Metazoa; Arthropoda; Arachnida; Araneae; Araneidae
Source: RNAcentral